GGCUAACGGGGUAGUAAGGCAUCGGAACGUACCUUUUCGUCUGGGAUAGCCAUGGGAAACUGUGAGUAAUACCGGAUAAUAUCUUCGGAUCAAAGGUUUACUGCGAUUAGAGCGGCCGAUGUGAGACUAGGUAGUUGGUAGGGUAAUGGCCUACCAAGCCAGAGAUCUCUAGGGGGUGUGAGAGCAUGACCCCCACCACUGGAACUGAGACACUGUCCAGACGCCUACGGGUGGCUGCAGUCGAGAAUCUUCGGCAAUGGGCGAAAGCCUGACCGAGCGACGCUGCGUGCGGGAUGAAGGCCCUUGGGUUGUAAACCGCUGUCAGAGGGGAUCAAAGGAAACUUGAGAGAGCCUCAGAGGAAGCGCGGGCUAAGUUCGUGCCAGCAGCCGCGGUAAUACGAACUGCGCAAACGUUACUCGGAAUCACUGGGCUUACAGGGUGCGUAGGCGGUUCGCCAGGUCAGAUGUGAAAUCCCACAGCUCAACUGUGGAACUGCAUUUGAAACCUGCGAACUUGAGUAGACUAGAGGUACACGGAACUUCAGGUGGAGCGGUGAAAUGUGUUGAGAUCUGAAGGAACACCAGAGGCGAAAGCGGAGUACUGGAGUCUGUCUGACGCUGAGGCACGAAAGCUAGGGGAGCGAACGGGAUUAGAUACCCCGGUAGUCCUAGCCGUAAA
RNAcentral lists this ribosomal RNA (679 nucleotides) under uncultured Planctomycetota bacterium. Its description in RNAcentral is "bacterial SSU rRNA". It matches the Rfam family "Bacterial small subunit ribosomal RNA", at positions 97 to 806 of the family's 1533-position model. Lineage: Bacteria; Pseudomonadati; Planctomycetota. The record is from RNAcentral.